Ursus americanus (American black bear) is the source of this 329-nucleotide unclassified non-coding RNA. Its record names the gene 7SK. It matches the Rfam family "7SK RNA". From Rfam's summary of the family: 7SK was discovered as an abundant small nuclear RNA in the mid-70s but a possible function has only recently been suggested. Two independent studies have found that 7SK RNA binds the CDK9/cyclin T complex (known as elongation factor P-TEFb). P-TEFb activates transcription by phosphorylating the C-terminal domain of RNA polymerase II. NCBI's taxonomy places the organism in Eukaryota, Metazoa, Chordata, Mammalia, Carnivora, Ursidae. The record is from Ensembl.
GGAUGUGAGGGCGAUUUGGCUGCAACCUCUAUCACCCCAUUAAUCGCCAGGAUUGAUUGGGCAGAUUUGUCUGGCUAAGUGGGUGUCCCCUUCUUCCUUCACUGUUCCAUGUGCAUUCCUCCCAAAGCUGCACACUGGGUCAAAGGACGACCUACCCUGGUAGGGGAGGACCAGUCUUCCGUCAAGGGCAUUUGACUAGCUGCACUCCCUUGCUAGAACCUCCAAACAAGCUCUCAAGGUCUAUUCGUAGGAGACCUUAGGGUAGUCAAGCUUUCAAGACUCCAGACACAUCCACAUGAGGUGCUGCAUGUGGCAGUCUGCCUUAAAAA